AAUCAACGCUGGCGGCGUGCCUCAGACAUGCAAGUCGAACGAUUAAAGCUCUCUUCGGAGAGUGUAUAGAGUGGCGCACGGGUGAGUAACACGUAAGUAAUCUACCUUUGAGUGGGGAAUAACAGUUGGAAACGGCUGCUAAUACCGCAUAAUGCAGCGGCAUCGCAAGAUGACAGUUGUUAAAGGAGCAAUCCGCUUAAAGAGGAGCUUGCGGCAGAUUAGCUUGUUGGUAAGGUAACGGCUUACCAAGGCUACGAUCUGUAUCCGGUCUAAGAGGACGGUCGGACACACUGACACUGAAUAACGGGUCAGACUCCUACGGGAGGCAGCAGUCGGGAAUUUUGGGUCAAUGGGCGAAAGCCUGACCCAGCAACGCCGCGUGAAGGAUGAAGUAUUUCGGUAUGUAAACUUCGAAAGAAUAGGAAGAAUAAGCGUGGGCUAAUACCCCUCAUGAUGACGGUACCAUUUGUAAGCUCCGGCUAACUUCGUGCCAGC
Molecule: ribosomal RNA, 495 nt
Filed under: uncultured bacterium
Lineage: Bacteria
Description: bacterial SSU rRNA
Rfam family: Bacterial small subunit ribosomal RNA
Source: RNAcentral